Molecule: ribosomal RNA, 229 nt
Filed under: uncultured bacterium
Lineage: Bacteria
Description: partial 16S ribosomal RNA
Rfam family: Bacterial small subunit ribosomal RNA
Source: RNAcentral
UGCGUAGGCGGGCUAAUAAGUCAGUGGUGAAAUCUCUCGGCUCAACCGGGAAACUGCCAUUGAUACUGUUAGUCUUUAGUUCGGUUGAGGUAGGCGGAAUGUGUAAUGUAGCGGUGAAAUGCUUAGAUAUUACACAGAACACCAAUUGCGUAGGCAGCUUACUAGACCGACACUGACGCUGAGGCACGAAAGCGUGGGGAGCGAACAGGAUUAGAUACCCUGGUAGUCC